GAGAUACUUCCUUCGUUCAAAAUUGCUUGUCGCAGAAAUGGAUGUAUCUAGAAAUACAUCUAGAUACACCCAUUUCUGCGACAAGUAAUUUUGAACAAAGUGAGUAUAUG
This is a non-coding RNA of Triticum aestivum (bread wheat), 110 nucleotides long. The record is from Rfam. Lineage: Eukaryota; Viridiplantae; Streptophyta; Magnoliopsida; Poales; Poaceae.